This 67-nucleotide microRNA precursor is filed under the name Bombyx mori (domestic silkworm). Its description in RNAcentral is "mir-2774 microRNA precursor family". It matches the Rfam family "mir-2774 microRNA precursor family". Lineage: Eukaryota; Metazoa; Arthropoda; Insecta; Lepidoptera; Bombycidae. The record is from Rfam by way of RNAcentral.
CAAACACUACGACCGUCGGUCUACCGAGCAAUAUCACCCGCUCGGUGGAAGAUCUUCCCUUUGUCGU